UAUGGAGCUUUAAUUAACUAUUCCAAAAGUUAAACAACUCAACCACAAAGGGAUAAAACAUAACUUAACAUGGACUAGCAAUUUCGGUUGGGGUGACCUCGGAGUACAAAAAACCCUCCGAGUGAUUUUAAUCUAGACAAACCAGUCAAAAUAACCAUAACAUCACUUAUUGAUCCAAAAUUUUGAUCAACGGAACAAGUUACCCUA
Molecule: ribosomal RNA, 207 nt
Filed under: Sus scrofa (pig)
Lineage: Eukaryota; Metazoa; Chordata; Mammalia; Artiodactyla; Suidae
Description: partial 16S ribosomal RNA
Source: RNAcentral